This 61-nucleotide transfer RNA is filed under the name Cavia porcellus (domestic guinea pig). The record is from Rfam by way of RNAcentral. Lineage: Eukaryota; Metazoa; Chordata; Mammalia; Rodentia; Caviidae.
UUAGCUUGGUGGCGUAAGUGCCUGCCUUGCAAGCAGGCAGUCGUGAGUUCGAUCCCUCAUA